This is a long non-coding RNA of Asparagus officinalis (garden asparagus), 522 nucleotides long. RefSeq lists it as uncharacterized. Lineage: Eukaryota; Viridiplantae; Streptophyta; Magnoliopsida; Asparagales; Asparagaceae. The record is from RefSeq and is a predicted model, not a curated record. The transcript is spliced from 2 exons.
CCUGGUGCGGCAGUAAGAGGCCCGGCUCCCACGGUUGGUGCCCAUGGCACUGGUGCAAGUUUGCCACCCAUAGGUGAACAGGUUGUCAGCAUGAAACAGCUGAAACAUGCUGAAGGAACAAUAGAGCUUUCGAGAGAUAAAGAUCCUGAGCUCUUGUAUCUGGCAGACUGGCACGCUGUGGUUUAUGAGGUCUUGGUUGGAAGUAUCAAGUGCACCUGUGUGCAUGGUAUUUAAUAUGCACUAAAUGAAUAUCGGACAUUGGAUCAUUAGAUUUCAGGAUUUGUGCUGACAUCAAAUGAGUACCACAACCGAAACCGAACCGAUCCUGACCUAAAUUGGUUUGGUCAGCUCGGUUCGGGUUGAUUCGGUUUUGGACUACAAUCGGCAUAAGUAUUGAUAACGUGAAGUGUUGAGCUCUCCCUCACCUAAUAAAGAUCUCAAACACAACGGAACUAGGAAAUUAGUUGUAUUUGUAUUGCUUAAUUUCAGGAAUGUCGUCGGAAAUGAAUACAAUGCUUAAAA